AGCUAGGUCAGUAGGUAGAUAGGGAGCUAGGUCAGUAGGUAGAUAGGGAGCUAGGUCAGUAGGUAGAUAGGGAGCUAGGUCAGUAGGUAGAUAGGGAGCUAGGUCAGUAGGUAGAUAGGGAGCUAGGUCAGUAGGUAGAUAGGGAGCUAGGUCAGUAGGUAGAUAGGGAGCAAGGUCAGUAGGUAGAUAGGGAGCAAGGUCAGUAGGUAGAUAGGGAGCAAGGUCAGUAGGUAGAUAGGGAGCAAGGUCAGUAGGUAGAUAGGGAGCAAGGUCAGUAGGUAGAUAGGGAGCAAGGUCAGUAGGUAGAUAGGGAGCAAGGUCAGUAGGUAGAUAGGGAGCAAGGUCAGUAGGUAGAUAGGGAGCAAGGUCAGUAGGUAGAUAGGGAGCAAGGUCAGUAGGUAGAUAGGGAGCAAGGUCAGUAGGUAGAUAGGGAGCAAGGUCAGUAGGUAGAUAGGGAGCAAGGUCAGUAGGUAGAUAGGGAGCAAGGUCAGUAGGUAGAUAGGGAGCAAGGUCAGUAGGUAGAUAGGGAGCAAGGUCAGUAGGUAGAUAGGGAGCAAGGUCAGUAGGUAGAUAGGGAGCAAGGUCAGUAGGUAGAUAGGGAGCAAGGUCAGUAGGUAGAUAGGGAGCAAGGUCAGUAGGUAGAUAGGGAGCAAGGUCAGUAGGUAGAUAGGGAGCAAGGUCAGUAGGUAGAUAGGGAGCAAGGUCAGUAGGUAGAUAGGGAGCAAGGUCAGUAGGGAGCUAGGUCGGGAGGGAGCUAGGUCAGUAGGUAGGUAGGGAGCUAGGUCAGUGGGUAGGUAGGGAGCUAGGUCAGUAGGUAGAUAGGGAGCUAGGUCAGUAGGUAGAUAGGGAGCUAGGUCAGUAGGUAGAUAGGGAGCUAGGUCAGUAGGUAGAUAGGGAGCUAGGUCAGUAGGUAGAUAGGGAGCUAGGUCAGUAGGUAGAUAGGGAGCUAGGUCAGUAGGUAGAUAGGGAGCUAGGUCAGUAGGUAGAUAGGGAGCUAGGUCAGUAGGGAGCUAGGUCGGGAGGGAGCUAGGUCAGUAGGUAGGUAGGGAGCUAGGUCAGUGGGUAGGUAGGGAGCUAGGUCAGUAGGUAGAUAGGGAGCUAGGUCAGUAGGUAGAUAGGGAGCUAGGUCAGUAGGUAGAUAGGGAGCUAGGUCAGUAGGUAGAUAGGGAGCUAGGUCAGUAGGUAGAUAGGGAGCUAGGUCAGUAGGUAGAUAGGGAGCUAGGUCAGUAGGUAGAUAGGGAGCUAGGUCAGUAGGGAGCUAGGUCAGUAGGGAGCUAGGUAGGUAGGGAGCUAGGUCAGUAGGUAGAUAGGGAGCUAGGUCAGUAGGGAGCUAGGUCGGGAGGGAGCUAGGUCAGUAGGUAGGUAGGGAGCUAGGUCAGUGGGUAGGUAGGGAGCUAGGUCAGUAGGUAGAUAGGGAGCUAGGUCAGUAGGUAGAUAGGGAGCUAGGUCAGUAGGUAGAUAGGGAGCUAGGUCGGGAGCUAGGUCGGGAGGUCGGUAGGGAGCCAGGUCGGGAGGUCGGUCGGGAGCUAGGUCGGUCGGAGCUAGGUCGGUCGGAGCUAGGUCGGUCGGAGCUAGGUCGGUCGGGAGCUAGGUCGGUCGGGAGCUAGGUCGGUCGGGAGCUAGGUCGGUCGGGAGCUAGGUC
Oncorhynchus keta (chum salmon) is the source of this 1642-nucleotide long non-coding RNA. RefSeq lists it as uncharacterized. The transcript has 3 exons. The record is from RefSeq and is a predicted model, not a curated record. Lineage: Eukaryota; Metazoa; Chordata; Actinopteri; Salmoniformes; Salmonidae.